UACGAAGGGGGCUAGCGUUGCUCGGAAUCACUGGGCGUAAAGGGUGCGUAGGCGGGUCUUUAAGUCAGGGGUGAAAUCCUGGAGCUCAACUCCAGAACUGCCUUUGAUACUGAAGAUCUUGAGUACGGGAGAGGUGAGUGGAACUGCGAGUGUAGAGGUGAAAUUCGUAGAUAUUCGCAAGAACACCAGUGGCGAAGGCGGCUCACUGGCCCGGUACUGACGCUGAGGUGCGAAAGCGUGGGGAGCAAACAGG
This 253-nucleotide ribosomal RNA is filed under the name uncultured bacterium. RNAcentral describes it as "partial 16S ribosomal RNA". It matches the Rfam family "Bacterial small subunit ribosomal RNA", at positions 524 to 776 of the family's 1533-position model. The record is from RNAcentral.